This 429-nucleotide ribosomal RNA is filed under the name uncultured bacterium. RNAcentral describes it as "bacterial SSU rRNA". It matches the Rfam family "Bacterial small subunit ribosomal RNA", at positions 355 to 776 of the family's 1533-position model. The record is from RNAcentral.
UGGGGAAUUUUGGACAAUGGGGGCAACCCUGAUCCAGCCAUGCCGCGUGCGGGAAGAAGGCCUUCGGGUUGUAAACCGCUUUUAGUCGGGAAGAAAAGGCGCGGCCUAAUACGUCGCGUUCUUGACGGUACCGGCGGAAUAAGCACCGGCUAACUACGUGCCAGCAGCCGCGGUAAUACGUAGGGUGCGAGCGUUAAUCGGAAUUACUGGGCGUAAAGCGUGCGCAGGCGGUUCGUUAAGUCUGAUGUGAAAGCCCCGGGCUCAACCUGGGAAUGGCAUUGGAAACUGGCGGGCUUGAGUGUGGCAGAGGGGGGUGGAAUUCCGCGUGUAGCAGUGAAAUGCGUAGAGAUGCGGAGGAACACCGAUGGCGAAGGCAGCCCCCUGGGCUAACACUGACGCUCAGGCACGAAAGCGUGGGGAGCAAACAGG